This 468-nucleotide ribosomal RNA is filed under the name uncultured bacterium. Its description in RNAcentral is "partial 16S ribosomal RNA". It matches the Rfam family "Bacterial small subunit ribosomal RNA", at positions 28 to 507 of the family's 1533-position model. The record is from RNAcentral.
GACGAACGCUGGCGGCGUGCUUAACACAUGCAAGUCGAACGGAAAGGCCCUGCUUUUGUGGGGUGCUCGAGUGGCGAACGGGUGAGUAACACGUGAGUAACCUGCCCUUGACUUUGGGAUAACUUCAGGAAACUGGGGCUAAUACCGGAUAGGAGCUCCUGCUGCAUGGUGGGGGUUGGAAAGUUUCGGCGGUUGGGGCUGGAUUCGCGGCUUAUCCGCUUGUUGGGGGGGUAGUGGCUUACCAAGGCUUUGACGGGUAGCCGGCCUGAGAGGUUGGCCGGCCACAUUGGGACUGAGAUACGGCCCAGACUCCUACGGGAGGCAGCAGUGGGGAAUAUUGCGCAAUGGGCGGAAGCCUGAUGCAGCAACGCCGCGUGCGGGAUGACGGCUUUCGGGUUGUAAACCGCUUUCGCAUGUGACGAAGCGUGAGUGACGGUAAUGGGUAAAGAAGCACCGGCUAACUACGUG